UUGGCUCAGUGGUUAGAGCGUUGGCCUGCGGAGUCAAGGGUCCCAGGUUCGAUUCCGGCA
This 60-nucleotide transfer RNA is filed under the name Myotis brandtii (Brandt's bat). It matches the Rfam family "tRNA", at positions 7 to 64 of the family's 71-position model. From Rfam's summary of the family: Transfer RNA (tRNA) molecules are approximately 80 nucleotides in length. Their secondary structure includes four short double-helical elements and three loops (D, anti-codon, and T loops). The record is from Rfam by way of RNAcentral. Lineage: Eukaryota; Metazoa; Chordata; Mammalia; Chiroptera; Vespertilionidae.